UUUUUUUUUUUUUUUUUUUUUGUUUUGAUAGUUUAAUCAGAAGAGGUUUAGACAACAUGAAGUACUGAGAUUUUGCUGUACAAUGAGCCACCACACACACACACACGCACCAAUAUAUCUACCAACUAGAUAAGAGGACAAUUGAAAUUCUCCGUUGAAUGCCAAGUGUCAAUAUAUUAUUAGAGGAAGGAGUUUAUUUUUUGAUUUUUGGGAUUUAAAGAGUGAGAAAUGUCUAUUUGAGACUUGAUCUCCAAAUUCAAGGGCUUAAUAGUUCCUUACUAUUUAGGGACUAAUUGGUAACAAUGCUUUAAUUAUUUUCAUUUGUUCCUUUUGUUUGGUUUUUAAUUGGUUGGAAAGGUCAAUUGAAUUCUUUUAUGAAAACUAGCUCAUUAAAUAGUUGCUAACUAUUCAUGGUUAUUUUUGUAGAUUUGAAAUUAUUUCUUUUAUAAUUUUCUAGUCAAAUGUAAAUAGUUGUAGACUAUUUGUGGGUCCUUUUAUAACAUAGACUGUUUUGAAUUGUAUUAUAGUAUUAAUUAUAUAAAUUAAUGGAGUCAUGCCCGUUAGUAUGACCGAUGACUGAUGACGUAAGUUAGUCAAUACCACCUUAAUGGUCUUAUUAGUCAGUGAAGUUCCUUUUUCUUCAUUUAGCCAGAAUUUCCUUCCUCUUUCUUUUCGUCGAAUAGCCUCUUUCUUUCCCUCGAAUAGGUAGCUAUAUAAGUCUGCAAAAUCUUCACUUUUCUACCAAUUUCUCCAACAACUAAUUAUCCUUCCUUUUGAUUGCAACCCAAAAAAUCCUCCACAUGCACGUGAAUUUUUGUUCUGCCCCAAAAAUUAGGUCAGUGAAAUUUCUUUUCCCCAAAAUCUACGAGCCUGCAAAAUCUUCAAUUUCCUGCCAAUUUCUCAAACAACUAAUUGUACUUCCUUUCGAUUGCCUCCCAAAAAAUCGUCCACAUGCACUUGAAUUCUUCUUUUGCCCCAAAAAUCAGUUCAUUGAAAUCUCUUUUCCCCCAAAAUCAGCUCAUUUUAGGGACGACUACUGUGCCAACUUAUCAUCUAUGGUACAACUUUCAGAACUUACUAUUCCCAGCCUUAUAUAUACUUCUGUUUCCAAGUUUUGCCGGUAUUCAAAAGACGAGCAAAGAAAAAAUAGGUAUUUUCUAUUUUCUCUCCUUCUAUUUUGAGCUGCAAUUUUUUAGUUUGAAUGUUCUUGCCUUCUGUUUAUUGCCUUCCGUUAAUUAAAGACUGCCAUGUGUUUGAUAUUAUGCAUAAAAGAAUAAUUAUGAUGGUAAUUUUUUGAUUAACUUAUGUUUACUUUUUUCUCUGUUUUUAUUAAUUUCAAAUGUUGCCGGACUUUUGCCAACAUUCAGGCGAGCAAAGAAAAUAUAGGUAUGUUUUUAUUUUCUCUCAUUCUAUUUUGAACUGCAAUUUUUUUGUUUCACUGUUGUUGCCUCUGUUUAUUGCCUUCCGUUAAUUAAGGAAUGCAUAUGUUUGAUGUUAUGCUAUGAUGGUUUACUUUUCCCUCUGUUUUUAAUUUCAAAUGUUGCAUGAUGCUGUUAGCUGUUUAUCUAUUCAAUAAUUACAUCAUUUAGUAUGAUUGUAGUUUGGGUUAUUAAGGUAGUCAUUUUGAUAUAUAUUAGUUAGUUUUAGCUAUUUUAGGAUGUUUUGAUUUUGUCAUUGUUGUGUGCCUUUCGCUUAGUAUCUUGCUUAGUUUAUAGUAAAAUUAGAUUUUGAUCUUUUGUGUUUCAAAAUGAAGAAAAAAAGAAAAUUUAGUACGGGUUUUAGAUUGAUAGAUGAGAUGUUUGAUGAUGCUUUUGAUCUAAGAAUGUUAGAAAGAAACAAAAAGACAAACUUAAAUAUGCUGAUUGAGCAUAUGAAGUUUACUGUCGAUUCUUCUGUUUCUCAGCCAUAUUCUCCUUUUGUAAUCAACUGUGAGAAUGACAUUCGUGAAAGCCACUUUGUUGAAACAUGUGUUUCACAAAAUCACAUCGAUAGGAAUCUAAUUCUGCCAAAUGACUGCAAAGGUAAAAAUGUUUGCUUUCCUCCAGAAAAUGCUGGAGAAAUUCAUUAUACCUCUGAUUCUACUGACAAUCAUUGUUUGCCCACAAUGAAUUCAUGUUUGAUCAAUCUCUCUGAUGUUGAACCUGUUGGUUCAUCACAAGUGAACUGCAAUGAGCAAUCCUUUGUUAUAGAAAAUCAGUUUCAAUGUGAACAAGUCACAAACGUUAAAGGAAAAAAUAGUUAUUUUGAAAUAUCAAAUCUAGAUAUGGAACUAGCUAAUUAUACUCCUCAUCAUCCCCUCUCUGUGAAUAGGCAUAUACCUAUAAUAGUUAGUGCUCCUGUUAUAUCUUAUGAUAAGAGCCCUCUUGAAUAUUCUAAAAUAUAUCAUGGAGAGGUAAUAAAUAAGAAAGAAUAUAGGAGACAGGCCUACUUUAGAUGGAAAAAGAAAAGAUUGAGAGCAAAAUCUAGAUCAAUUGCUUCUACAAAUACAACUGAAAAUCGAACAAGCAUCACAAUUGUUAAUGAGUGUUCCUCAGUUGUUGAUGUUCAGCGUAGUUCUCGAUCUCGUUCCAAGCAUCGCAGAUCAGCUCUCAAAAAACCCAGCCAGGUCUAUAGUUAAUACUUUUAAGUUUUCUAAUAUAUGUUUUUACACUAGCAUUAAAAUAAAUUGAAUGAUUUGACUACUAAAUGCUCUAAAAUAAUUAUAUUUUAGGAAGAGGGUGCAAAACAAGCAAAGCUUUGUUGGAUAUAAUUCCUGACAAAGCUGAUAUCCUACCACACCAACUAGAUUGUCCUCAUUGCGGAGCGAAGAAGUUUUUUUUCUGACACAACAUAUUUUUGUUGCCAAGAUGGUUAAGUUGUUUUGGCUCAAAAUAAAAUUUCAGAUAUCUUUAAAGAGUUAUUGAUUUCAUCUUCACAAGAGGUACAAUCUUUUAGAACUCUUAUUAGAACGUAUAAUAAUCAUUUUGGAUUCACUUCCUUCAGUGUUAAAGCUGAUCUGACUCUCUCAAAAAGGAUUAAAGGAAUUUACACUUCUAGAAUUCAAGGACAAAUAUAUCAUUUUCUGAAUGAUUUCAAUUCAAGCAAUGGUCAUAGUAAUAAUUUGCAAUUAUAUUUCAAUGACUUUGAAACUGAAAUAAGCAAUCGAUUAGCAGCUUGUCCUAGACUAUCUGAAAGUGUAAUUAGGAAAAUUAUGCAAGUUCUUGAGUCUAAUCCAUAUGCAAAAUUCUUUAGAAAUUUGAGAGAGAUACCUAAUUUAGAUAACUACUGCAUUGUGUUAAAAACUCUGCCUGGUGUUGAUCAAAGAGUUUAUAAUAGACCAACAACUUCACAAGUUGCAGGCUUGUGGGUUGAGGGGCAAGAAAAUGGAGAGACCAGCAGGCGUGAUAUUAGAGUUCAUAUCCAUAGUGGUGCUUCAAAAAAUAUACAAUACUAUUAUAGAUAUUACGAUCCACUCCAAUAUCUAAUACUUUUUCCUUUUGGUGAUCUUGGCUGGCACCAAGGAAUACCAAAGAAAGGAGCAAAAGUAUAUAGAAGAAAGGGGAAAAAAAAAAAGCAACAUGUAGCAAAUUUGAUUUCCCCUGCAAAUGCUGCUACAACAGAACAAUUAAUCCAAAAUGAAGAACAUAGUUAGUACAAUAACUAUAUGCCAUGAUCUUUCAUUUUACAUAUUUAAUAUUUAUGAUUACACAUUUAAUGAUGUACUGUUAUUAUUUCCACAGCAAUGGAAAGCAUACAUGAAGAUCCAAAUUUUGUGUCCCUUCGAGAAUAUUAUUGUUAUAAACUUCAGAUUAGGGACAAUGAUGAAUCAUGGUUAUUACAUUUUGCUCGACUCCUACAACAAUAUAUUGUUGAUCAAUAUAUGAAGCUUGAGACACAAAGACUCGACUUUUAUAGAUUACAACAAGAGGAAAUUAGGAGAGAGUUCUUGAAAGGCAUAAUAGAUGCUUUAAAAUCAGGUAAAAGUCAAGCAUGUAAUGUUGGCCAGCGUAUCAUAUUAACACCAUCCUUUAUUGGAGGGUCAAGAAAUAUGAGAUGUAAAUACAUGGAUGUAAUGACAUUAGUACAAAAGUAUGGUAAAUCAGAUAUAUUUUUGACCAUGACUUGCAAUCCUAAUUGGCCAGAAAUAAAAGAAUACUUAAUAGACAAAGAAGAGAGACAAAACAGAUCAGAUUUGCUUGUUAGAGUAUUUCAUGCUAAGUUAGAGCAGCUCAAAAAUGAACUUUUGAAAAAAUGCAUCUUUGGUGAAGUGGCAACUUACACUUAUGUCAUUGAAUACCAAAAACGUGGACUGCCACAUGCACAUUUCUUGCUAAUUUUAAAGUCAAAAUUCAAGAUGUAUACCCCUGAAAAAUAUGAUAAAAUUGUUUGUGCUGAGAUACCAAAUAAAGAGAAAAAUGAACAUCUAUAUAAUUUGGUCAUUAAACGUAUCCUUCAUGGACCAUGUGGUUCACUUGAUCCAACAGGUGUAUGCAUGAGAAAAAAUGGAACUUGCAAGAAUAAUUUUUCAAAAAAUUUCUGUGAGGAAACUAUCCAAACUCUUAAUGCAUAUCCUGAAUAUCGAAGGAGAGAUGAUGGAGUUCAAAUUAAGAUCAAAUCAGCUCUUUUAGAUAACAGAUGGGUUGUACCAUACAAUCCAUAUCUUUUGGCUAAAUUUGAUUGUCAUCUUAAUGUUGAAAUAUGCUCUAUAAUUAAGGCAGUCAAAUACAUUUAUAAGUAUAUCUAUAAAGGUCAUGAUAGAACAAACUUUUGUGUAGUAAAUAAUAAACUUGAUUCAGAAAUCGAUGAAAUUAAACAAUAUGUAUCAGCUAGGUGGGUGUCUCCACCUGAGGCAGCAUGCAGAAUUUUUAGAUUUUGAAUGAGUGAAAUAAAACUAGCUAUUAUUCAUUUACAAUUACAUUUGGAGAAUUAUCAGCCAAUGAGUUUAAAAAAAAAAAAGCUAAUCUUCAAAAUGUUGUCAAUAACUAUCAUUUGAAAAAAACAAUGCUCACUGAAUUUUUUUACAUGAAUAGGACAGAUAAAGCAACUUAGGAUCUAAACUGUACUUAUGUAGAGUUUCCUAAUCAUUUUGUCUGGUUACCUAAACAAAAAUACUGAAAAUUGAGAGAAAGAGGCGAAUCAAUAGGUCGAAUAAUGACUGCUCAUCCUUCUGAAGGAGAACGAUACUACUUGAGAUUACUCUUAUCAAAGGUUCGAUGUCCAACUUCAUUUGAUGACUUAAGAACCUUUAAUGGAGUUCAAGUAGAAACGUUCCAAGAAGCAGCAUUAAUUCGAGACUUGAUACAAAAUGAUAACAGCCAAGAAAUUUGUUUACAAGAAGUCUCACUGUUUCAUAUGCCCUAUGAAAUGAGGUGACUUUUUGCAACACUUUUGGGUUAUUCUUGCCCUAAUGACCCAAAGGCAUUGUGGCAGAAUUUUGAAUCUUCUAUGUCAGAAAAUUUUGCCAAAUGUUCAACAAUGACAUUUGCACAAGUGAAAAGAAAUGUCCUGCAACAAAUUGAUGGAUUUUUGCAAUCCAUAGGAAAAAGUAUACAUUCAUAUAAUUUGAUUCCCCCUAGAUUCUUUUAUGAAAAUAUAGAGAAUGAAACUUGAGAAUUAAGAGCAGAAAGAAACAUUGUCAUUCCAGAAACUGACUUGAAUUCAAUUAAACUACUCAAUGAAAAACAGAUAAAAGCAUUCAUAGUCAUAUCUGAGAGAAUUUACUCAGAUAGACCUAGUAUUUUUUUCAUUGACGGUUCAGGUGAUACUGGGAAAACAUUUCUGUACAAAGCUUUGUUAGUUGAUGUUAGAUCUAAAGGUUAUCUUGCACUUGCUACAGCUAUAUCAGGAAUUGCAGCUUCCAUUUUACCAGGUAGAAGGAUUGCACAUUCCAGAUUUAAAAUUUCAAUAGAUAUCUUUGAUGGUGUAACAUGUUGAGUUAGUAAACAAACUUCUUUCGCUGCAAUGAUCAAAGAAACAAAACUAAUAAUCUGGGAUGAAGCACUAAUGUCUAAAAAAGCAACAAUUGAAGCUUUAGAUGAUCUCUUAAGAGAUUUAAUGAAUUCAGAAGAAGUAUUUAGAGGAAAGGUAGUUGUGCUUGGUGGAGAUUUUAGACAAAUAUUGCCAGUUGUUAGAAAGGGAACAAAAGCUGAAAUGAUAAAUGCAUGUUUAAUAAAUUCUCCAUUAUGGCACAAAUUAAAAAAUUUACAAUUAAUAGAGAACAUGAGAGCAAAAUUAGAUCCUACAUUCACACAGUUUCUUUUAAAAAUUGGAGAUGGAACACCGGAAACAUAUGAGAAUGAUAUAGUAAAACUUUCAUCUUCAAUUAUAGUUAACUAUAAUAAUGAGACUGAUGCAAUUAAAAAACUAAUCAAUAUUAUGUAUCUUUAAUUUAAAGAUCCUUCAAAGAAAUUGCAUUGCUCACAAAAUAGAGCAAUUUUAACUACAAAGAGUAACUUUGUAGAUGAACUAAAUGAUCAAUUGACCGAAAAAUUUCCAAGAGAUUUGACUGAGUACUUAAACUAUGAUGAAGCACUGAAUGAAAUCAUUAAUCUGAAUAUAUUGAUCUCUUAAAUACUCUUACGCCUAACAAUUUACCUCCACAUAUGUUACUGUUAAAAUCCAAUGCCCCAAUAAUUCUUUUAAGAAAUCUUGAUCCUACUGAAGGAUUAUGCAAUGGGACAAGACUGAUAAUAAAGAGUUUGAGCAAGAAUGUUAUUUGUGCUAAAAUUGUAGUCGGUGAUUUUUGUGACAAAGAAGUUUUUAUACAUAGAAUUUUCAUGUAGCCACUAAGUGAUGAACAAUAUCCAGUUCCAUAUAAGAGAACACAAUUUUCAAUUCGUUUGUGCUUUGCGAUGACAAUAAAUAAAACACAAAGCCAAACUUUAGAUUUUGUUGGUAUUUAUUUGAAAGAACCUAUGUUUUCACAUGGCCAAUUAUAUGUUGCACUUUCAAGAGCCAAAAUAGCUUCAGCUGUAAAAGUGCUUAUCAGGCGAACUUAUUUUGAUAAAUCAUGCACUAAUCAUACUAAAAAUAUAGUACAUAAAGAAGUUCUUGAAGCUUUCCAGAUUGCAUUAUCAGGUUUUAAUAUUCAUGGCCUUUUUUGUUUAGAAAUUUAUUAUUUUGUUUAAUUGACUAUCUAAUUUCUCUAUGAAUAUAGGUCAUCAUGCCUAGACAUAUAUCUUCAGUGCUAGACAUUCAGAAAGGAGCAGAAAAAUAGACUGUUCUAGCACAAGUUGUUCACAAGGCCACAAUCAACUGACUCGUGAAGUUCCACCUAAGCGAAUUAUGCGCUUUCUGCUCAUAGAUAUUGAGGUCAGCAAAUACUUUCCUAUUUCUCUGCUCAUUAAAUUCAUUUCUGAGAACAUUUCAGAAUCUGUAUAAGAACAUUUCAUGAUUUGUCUGUUCAUUACAUUUGCUUAAGAAAAAAUCCUUAGUAUUCAUGUAAGUUUAUACAUACUAUGAUAUUAGAACUAUAGUUUCAUUGUAAGUGAAUAAUCACCUAACUAUUAAAGUAUUCAUUUCUAUAAUUUUAAUUUCUAUGUGAUAAAUAUGAUGUUAGCCAUCAAGAUGACAGUUAUGAUUUUAACUCAUAAUAUAUAUAAAACUAACUUUUCCUAAUCCUAAUCAGGGAACAAAAGUUUUUGUUGUCACCUAUGAACAACACAUCAAGGUCUUCAGCAAAUUUCUACAGCCUUAUCAAAGAUAUUAUGUUUCUAAUGCAAUUGUCGUUCCUGCUGACCCAACAUACAGAGUUGGGACCUAUGAAUGCUCUUGAAUUUUGAACUACAAGACUUUGAUUAAAAAUUAUGCUGAACCUGUGCCACCUUUGUUGCCUUGCAUAUAUUUGAGCUGACAAACUUCUAUAAGCUACACAGAUAUGCAGAUUCAGAUAAUAUUUGUAGUAAUUUUUCUUACAUUAUUUUUUAAUUUACUUGACAAUCAUUUGAUAUUUUAUUGAUUGCUUACAUCCAUAUUAAUAAUUUUAUUUCAGAUAUUAGAGGCUUUGUGAUUCAGGCAUUACCAGUAAAAAAGGCAGAUCCAGAUUGUACUUCUAGAGACAUUAUAAUAGUGAAUGAAGAGUAAAUCAAAUCUGAAUAUUACCUUUUUAUUAAGUCAUUUUAGAUUAAUGAUAGCAGUUACAAAUUUUUGUUAUACCUGACAGGAAAAAACUCAUGCUUAUGACUCUUUGGAAUGAAUUUGAACAUGAUGAAGAGAGCAAAAUAGCAGACAUGAUUAGCACUGCCCCUCUAAUCAUAGCUCUCCGUGUUAAAGCUAGGGGUGUUUCGCGAAUCGAUCCGCUCGCGAGCGGCUCGAAUACGAGCUCGACUCGAGCUCGUCAAUAUCGAGUUCGAGUCGAGCUCGAGCCAAUUAAGUCGAUCUCGAGCUCAAAAACAUUAAGCUCGUUGGCUCGCGAGCUCAAUUAUAUAUUUAUUUUUUAUUUUUUAUUUUUUAUUUAAUAGUAAAAUUACCUAUAUAUUUCUAAUAUUUUAUUAUUUGUUAAAAAAAUUAUUAUUUUAUUCAUUUUUAAAAAUAAAUAUUUAUUUUUUUUAAAAAAAAUAAAAUAAUAAUUAUUAUUUUUUUAUUUUUUAAGCUCGACUCGAAUUUGACUCGAGCUCGAGCUCGAGCUUGAUAUUUUAACCUCGUCGAGGUCGAGCUCGAGUUUCACAAAAUUAACUCGAGCUCGGCUCGUUUAGCCAAAACUCGGCUCGAGUUCGUCUCGUUUGCACCCCUAGUUAAAGCGACCACAUUCAAUAGUAAAAUUUUCAUUAUGCAUUAUGAUUUCUUUACUAUUUGUCUUCUAAGUACUUGAUAUGUUAUAUUACUAAAACAUUUCAUCAUUUUUACAGUUUUAUCAUUCAUUACAAGGUAUUCAUCUGGAAUUCUGAUAAAUCCUUCACUCCCAGAUGGCCUCUCUUUUAGGCAAUGGUAAGUGUAAUUUUCUUUUUAUUUUUUACCAUAAAUUAUCAAUUCAUUUUACUGGUAAAUUUUUUAUUCGUGCUCUAAACAUAACCAAUCAGGUUUAGUUUGAACAAGGAAGAAAUAAAAAAUUUACUUGAUGCUAAAGCAUACAAUGAUGCAAACUGUUUACUUCCUCCUCCAAAUGAAGAAGAUAUCAAAGCAAUCAGCAAUUUUCACGCAUCAUUUUCAGUUGUAAGUGCCAUUUGUUAUUUUAAAAUUUUGUUUAAAUAUAACUAUUUUGUCUCUAAUUUACAUUCAAAUACUAUUCAUGGUUAGUGAACUCAGCAAAAGACAGCUUGGGUGCAAGGAACUGUCAAACUUGCAUAUGGAUUCACCAAAUAGUGGACUACUGCUUGUGUGAUUUGUCACAAAAUUGUGAAUGCUAACAUUGACUGGAUCAUCCAUUGUCCUUCAUGCAAAUAGUAAAGUGAUGUUGAAUUCAGGUUAGACCAUUAACUUAUGUUUCUAAAUUAAACAUUAUUCGGAUUUGUUACCAUAUAUUAAUCUUAAUUAUUUCACUCAAUUAAAGGGCUUGCAUUCCAAUUAUUAUAACUGAUGCUUCGAGCUCAAUACAUUGCAUUAUAUCUGGAGAAGAUGCUGAAAAAAUGAUUGAGUUCACUCCACUGCAACUUAAGCAAGCACAAGAAGAUGUAAGUAAAAAUUUUGUGUCUUAUAUUCAACCAUAAAUACAAAUAUACAUACAAAACAAUCAUUUUCUGGUUUCUGGUGUAGGGCCUUGGAAUAGACACUGAACUUAAUGAUACCUUGAAAAAGUACACAGUGGUAUGUUUUCUGAAAUCCUAUGAGACUCCCUUCCAAGGUCAACUCUAGAGAAAGAAUACUGUCAUUAAGGCUUACACUGCAGCUGAACUAUCGCAUAGUCCACUUCCACUGGCACUUCCAGAAAACACUCAAGUUUCUUCUGCACUUGGCAGUUCAUCAGCAAGGCAUGCAGAAAAAUCAUCAAAUAGUCAUACCAACCACAAAGUUGGUACUUGAAGAAAUUGCUGAAGCUAGUUCUUACAAAGAAGGCCAGGCAUCUACAACCAGUGGAGCAAAAAGAAGCCUUGAGUUUCCAAAAGAUUUACCAGCAGACACACUUGCUAAACAUGCAACAAAGACUCCUGAACAGUUUGCCAAAGAACCUACAAAAUCGUAUAGUCCACCUGGCAAUAUCAAAGAUAGUUCAGCAAAGAAAGCUAAAGCAAACGAAGACUGAUAUGGCCUAAUUCUGUACUUUUGUUAAAUCUUUUGUUCAUUGCCUUGGUGCUUGCCUUCAUUGCUUAGACAAUAUCUUUUGAAUUAUAUUAUGAUUCAUUAUUCUUUUGACUUAAAAAGUAAUGGAUCCUAAUAUAACUAUUAAUAGUUUAACCAUCAAUGUUGUAAUUCAAUAGGCAAUGAAACUUAUUUAAGCCUCCUAAUAUGCAAUUGUGGCUAGCACUCAAGUAUGUAUUCUACUAAGACAUAAAUGAUUGAGUUUAUGUAAUGAAUGAUUGUGAUUUGUAUAUUAUUUACCUCUUGAACCUAUAUAUACAUUAUGAUCUUUUAGCAAAUUAUCCUCAUUGUUAUAGAUUUAGUUGGUCAUAUCAGUGGGUAGACUGUGCAUUGCACGGCCAGACCCAUGCUAGUAUAUAUAUAUAGUAGAGGUACCUCGGCUAUGUAAGGCACCCUGGAAACUUAGUUGAAUACAUAGUAACAAAUCAUUUUAGUACAUAAUGAAUAGAGAUAUAACUAUAUAAGAAAAAAUUGAGUAUCAAAAUAAUUUAAAAGUUGUUGUGAAGAAAAAUUCUAUCUAUGAAGUUAGCCCCCUAUUUUUUUGUGAUUUGAACAAAGAUUUUUUAACCAGUAUUACGUGUAUAUAAUGGUACCAAAAAAGAAGAGAAAACAAAUCCAUUAUGAGUACAUUGUUGGUUUAAUAACAACAAAAUUUUAGUUGUAAUUAAACAAAACAAUCAUAUUAUUUCUAGCACUUUAAUAAAUAAAUUUUUUUUGAUAGUUUAACCAGAAGAGUUUUAGUGCCUGUUUGAUAACAUAAAAAAGUGCUGAAACUGAAUUCAUUCAAACAUUCAGAUGUUGUGGGUAUUUGAUAAAUAAAAAUUCACCUGCUGAAUUUAUUAAGUGGUACUGAAUUUGUAUGUAUUUUUUUCAGCACAAGAAUCGUAGCUGAAUGCUUAAUUUGAUAAGAAUCAAGAGAUUUACUUCAACUACUUUAUCUUAUCUACCAAAUAUAUCCCUGUUUGUUAAUUACAUUCAAAAUCCUUAUCUAAUUAAACAACCUAAUAUUUCCUAUUUAAAAUCCUUAUCUAAUAAAACAAAACAACCUGAUAUUCUCUAUUCAAAAUUUUUUUCUAACAAUAGUAUUUUUUUGCAGUAAUUUUCAUCCACAAACAUUUAUAUUUUCAUAUAUAUAUUUUUUUGUGCAGAUAAAUAUUAUUUAUGUGAUGCAACUUAUCCACACACACGUGGCUUUGUGACACCAUAUCGAAAUAUUAGAUAUUGGUUGUCUGAUUUUCGAAAUGCUUCUCGUCCAAGAUCAAAAGAAUAACGUUUUAACCAAGCACAUGCAAGAUUGAGAAAUGUAAUUGAACGUGCUCUUGGAGUAUUAAAAGCUCGUUUUCCUAUUUUUAAAACGAUGAAACCAUACCCUUUUCCCACACAAAGAAAUAUUGUCAUUGUAUUCAUUGCUCUUCACAAUCAUUGUCAUUUUCAUACCUAACAAUUUUAAAUUAAUUAAAUCAUAGGUUCUAUUUUCUUUUUGGAUUAAAAGAUAGAAGGGCAAAAUUGUACAAUUUAGCUUCUUAAGCAUUAAGUUAUGAAUAUUUAUCAAACAGUAUAAAUAGAUUCAACAUUAAGAUUCAGACAUUCAUAUAUCUCUUUUCAGUACUUAAAAUUCAGCAAAUGAAUUAUUUCAGUAUUCAGAGUUCAGAAUUCAGAAUUCAAAUUCAGUGUUAUCAAACGGAGCCUUAGAGAACAUGGAGUACUGAGAUUUUGUUGUACAAUUUCGUAAAUGUUGCAGAAUAGAAUGUACCAAAAAUAUGACAGCUAUAUUUGGUAUUUUGUCAUGUUAAUCUCUAAACACACCAUAAAAAAAUUCCUAAAUCCAGUAGAAAGAAAGGAUACAGAUAUAAGAAAGUGAACAAGGCACUAAUUGGGAAGUUUAAGGAGCCACCACACACUCACACACAAAAAAUAUAAUAUAUAUAUAUAUAUAUAACUUAAAUUAAUUUUGGGACAACACCUGUAUGUUUUGACUCCUGCAAUUCCAAGAUUAGAUGUCCAAAAAAGCGUCACCUCUUGAUGUAGAUUAUAGUAGUGUUUUUGAAUAGAAUAGUUUGAGAUAUUAUUUGGAAUAAUUAUUGUAAUAAUUUUUAGGAUAAAAAAUAAAAAAGUUUCCUCUGGUAAACCUAAUAUACAGAAAAGUUUCAUGUAAUUUCAAAAUAUACAACACGACACCCCAUAUUUUGAAUUAAAUUAUAAAUGCGACGGAAUCCAUUAAACUUAACAAAAAUGGAUGAAAUGACCAAAAUGCCCUGAUAUAAUUAAGUAAAAGACGGCUCAAAAAAAUUAUUUAUUUUAUUCUCUAGAUAAAGAGAAUUGAGGGUUAAAGGGUAGAACAUGUAUAUUUGUUAAAAAUUAUGUAUAAAUUUUUUUUUAACUUCCAAUAAGUCAUUACCGUUAAAUUUAACGGAUUCCGUCAACUUUAUAAUUUAGUUCAAAGUACGGAGUAUCGUGUUGUAUAUUUUGAAACCAUGGGGAAUUUUUUGUAUAUUUGAUUUACCACAUGGAACUUUUUUAUAGUUUAUUCUACUUUUUAUGAUGUAAUAUAUAUAUAUAGAAUAAAAAUGUGAAUUGAGAAAUAUGUUUAUAAUGUAAAUAAAGUAUUAUUUAUUUGAAAUAAUUUAACUAUCUAACAACUCUACCGAAAAAACCUGUAUCUUACCUUAUCCAAAUUGAAGAAAAGAUGGGAAGAUGGUAGCAUUUGUUGCUCAAAAUGAGAUUAGCUUUAAAGGACUACCUUUUGAGCUGGAACAAAAAAUUUGUCGUGUAUUUGAUCUAAAAAGAUUGCGAACGAGACUCGAUAAGGGUUCAAGUUAAACAUGCAAAGAAAUGUCUUGAAAGAUAUCAACCUUUUCACCUGGAGAAUAUAUAUUAACAAAUGAAUAGCGUUUGAGCUUUAAUAUGUGUCUUAAGUCGAACUUCAACUCUAUUAUAUGCUCAAUCUGUUUUUCUUUGUGGUAAUAAUGAUUAUUACCUUCUUGAUAAUCGAGUAUGUAGCUCAUAUUGCCUUUUUAAGUUCUAACAUAACCAUAUUAGGGUAGGGUUCAGUUGGGCUCAAUUUCUUGGAAGUUGCAGCCCUGCUAAAGAUUAUCUUUCCUCGCACCUACAAUGAAGGAUGAGGGGCAGGCCCGUCCUCGAUUGGUGUACAAGAAUAAUAUCAGACACCCCUCCUGAGGUUUCUCUUAAUAUUACUUAGCACUCUUAAAUAUUUAAAAAAUCACUUACCUCCCUUUAGUUAUUUGUGUAACAAAAUUUUCAAAAAUCCUAAAUUACCCUUCUACUUGCUAAAUAAAAGUACUCCUAGAUCACUUUUUUUACUUCAAAAAAUCAUCAUUUAAAAAAUAAUUUCUAAUAGUACUACCACAUCAUAAUGCUAUAGUUUAUAAAAAAUAUAUAUUUGAAAAAUAAAAAGAUAUUUGCAAUGAAAUACAGUUGAUUAAUUUAACUCUACAUACUCAAAACCGAUUUUUUAUGAACUUUAUCUUUUUUUUUUCAACUUUUUCUCAACUAGUGCUCAAAUCUUUAAAUUGUAUUGAUCAUUAUAAAAAACAACUCAAAAUAAGUAAAUGAAUCAUACCGCACUUUAUCACAAUUAUAAAAAGUAAAAGGUAAUAAAAUUUAAUUUAUUAUAAUUUACAAAUAGAAAAUUGCAUAGUCAUCCAAAAAAUGAGUAAGAGAGAAUAUUGGAGAAAAGAAAAAGAGAAAAAAGUGACUUUUGUUUUUUUUUUUUCUAAUUUUUAGCUCCAUUUAUUUGAUAUACUGCCUCCGUCCCAUUGUUAAUGUCAUGUUUUCACUUUUUUGUUAUUCCAAAAUAAGAGUCUCAUGGCAAAAGUCAAACAACUUUCACUACUACUUUCCUUUUAUACCCUUAGUAAUAAUGACAAGAUUCCAUCAAUUAAUAAUAAACAAUUACAUAUGCCCCACCACAACACAUGCACACUUUCACCAUUCCUGUGACCUUUUGCUUUUAGCUGGCUAUUUCCGUGUGUCAGACAAGGGGUAAAACUGAAAGAAUAUGAAAAGUGCAGUCCACUAUUUUACUGUGCAUAAAAAGUGUUACUCCCAAAAAACGUUCCAAAUUUUGGGACGGAGGGAGUAUAAAUUAUGUUUCAAGUGAGGGUUAAUAUAGUCUUUUUGCAAUUACCAAAGGAGGUAAGUGACUUUUUUGAAACCUUAGGGGUGUCAGGUGAUAUUAGGAGAAACCUCAUGGGAGGUAUAUGAUAUAAUAAACGUAAUAUAUUAUAAACGAAUUGUAUAUAACUUUUGUAAUACAACUGGAAACAUUUGAAGUCUUGCUCACAAUAUGGCCCUACGUGUCAUACGAAUAUGCAUCAUGUAAUUAAGGCAAUACAUCUCAAUUUUUUUCUAUUUGUUGUAGAACACAAACGAAUUGAAUUCAAUUGAAUCAUUUGCAAGUUUGUUUGAUCAAAAUUCGAGUUUGAAUUUCAUCCCGUAUUAAUUGAGUUCCUCUGAAUUUGAAUAGUUUGAUUUUGAACUCAUACCUUAUGUGUGUAAAAGUAAAAAAUUUAUUAAACUUCAUGGAAUUUCAAAUAUCUAUAACAUUGAGUUAGAUUCAAACUUAAGUGAUCGAGUAAACUAAACUAAAAUUAGACCGGGAUCGAGAUCAAACUCAAGAUUGAGUUGUGAAAGCCCUAAUUAGUACUCAAAUUAUGGCCACCAAUAACAAUAGGCAAUCGACUCAGCUCCUCUUUCCGCGAACAACACAGUUACAUAAGGUGAAAAGGGAAAAUAAAUGGACAGGAACCAAUUGGCUUAAGGUUUAGAUUAGACUUAGGAGUCUCCCUAUAAAAAAAUUAAAAAGAAAUUAUCCCAUCAUCCUAAUUAUUAAACCGAAUCAACUGAAUCAAGUCUCUCCCUCCCUUUUUCUCACUCUCCCCCGAGGAGGAGGAGAAGAAGAAUCGCGUAUAAAUGCACCGACACUCAAAGUCACUCUCCAAAUAACAAGAAAGAAAGAGGAAAGGAAAGCCAAAAUGGGAUCUCUUCCACCCCUGCAAUUCAUCCCAAAUCCCGAUCCCAAUUGCAAAGAUCAUCAACAAGAAUUGAUAAACCCUGAUAACUUGCUCAAUCUCUUCAAAACCCAGCAAAAAUACCUCAACCAUUUCUUCCAAAACCUUGAUCUUUCUCAGACCCUUUCGUUCACUCAAACUCUCCUCAAUUCCACCGGCACCAUUUUCUUCACCGGCGUCGGGAAGUCUGGAUUUGUAGCUCAGAAGAUCUCGCAGACCCUCGUUUCGCUCGGGAUCAAGUCCGGGUUUUUAUCCCCUGUGGACGCGCUUCAUGGGGACAUCGGCAUUUUGUCUUCGGCUGAUGUUCUGGUUAUGUUUAGCAAGAGCGGGAAUACGGAGGAGUUGGUCAGGCUGGCGCCUUGUGCCAAGGCUAAAGGAGCGUAUUUGAUCUCGAUUACGUCUCUGGAGCCCAAUGCCUUGAUGGGUUUGUGUGAUAUGAAUGUGAAUUUGCCGCUGGAGAGAGAAUUGUGCCCCUUUGAUUUGGCCCCUGUGACGUCGACCGCGAUUCAGAUGGUUUUUGGGGAUACGGUGGCGAUUGCUCUGAUGGGUGCCCGGAAUUUUAACAAAGAAAUGUACGCUGCCAAUCAUCCAGCUGGAAGAAUUGGGAAAAGCUUGAUCUUUAAGGUAUAAAAAGUUUUUAAAAUUUUUUCUCGAUUUUCUACAUUGCAACGUUGACUAGGUUGGAAAUUAUCUGUUGAAGUUACAAAAUAGAUAGAAGAACGUUUUGAUGGGGAAUUUCCUGAUUUUGUGCUUCUUCUUGACGAGAUUAUGAGAAUUUGGUGUGUAAUUUUUGUCGGUUUAAAGAUAAAAGACAGUUAGUGUAGGUUGGGAAGUUUGAAGCAGCUUUAUUUUUUGUGUUCUACAGUGGGAUUUUGUGAACCUUCUUAAUUCAAUGUGUAGACUUUUUUUUUAUUUUUAUUUUCCUGUGGCGACUAUACAAUGAAUUAUGUUCAGAUGGGUGGUAUUGAAGGUUGCAUUGGUUUCACUGAAGGGAUAUUGUCGUGAAUAUAUGCUUGUCGGUUUGAAAUUGUUAAAUGGUGAAUUUCUUGUUUCAUUGGCAAUACUAUAUUCUAUACUUGAACUUCGAGAAUGGGGCUGAGUAGAACAUUUAUCAAUAGUCUAGUGCCAAAAUAUGCUAAACAGCUGAUGAGCAUAGAGCUUUAGCACUUUUGCUCUAGCAUAGGGGAUUCAGGGAAGCAACUUUUAUUGGUAUUGAAGGAUCGCCUUUGACAUUUACCUCCUGACUAGAUGGCUUUAUUUGAAUGGGAUGAUUUUUUUGCAGGUAAAGGAUCUCAUGAAGAAGAAGGAUGAACUUCCAGUUUGCAGGGAGGGGGAUCUGAUUAUGGAUCAACUAGUAGAGCUAACCAGCAAAGGAUGUGGAUGCCUUCUCGUUGUUGAUAAUGAUUACCAUUUGUUAGGUACUUUUACUGAUGGUGAUCUACGGCGCACAUUGAAAGCUAGUGGUGAAGGAAUCUUUAAGCUCACCGUGGGUGAAAUGUGUAACAGGUAGUUUAUAGCUUUUGUGUGUAUGGAUAUACAUAUGAAAUUGAAACAUGCUAGAUCCUUGUUACUUGAAUCAUCCACUUGUUUAUAAGGUGCUGCCUGUGUUAGGGGAAGGGAAGCAGUGGUUUGGGAGAAUGUUUAGGUCCUUAGUUUGGCUUUACUAGGUUACUGUGAAAACGAGAAAAGAAUUCGAGGCUACUGGUUAAAGCCGUGCAAUACUUUUAAAGUCCAGGAAAGCCAAUAGACUAGUUCUUGGAAUUAUAACAACGAGCCAGUUAAACCACAUGCAUGCAUGACCAAAAAGAAUUGCUUUCAGCAAGAUUAUAUCCCUUUAAAACUGCAAUGUAUGUUAUUCACUGUAAUCAUUUUUGCCCUUCAAGUAAGCAGCCAAAUGGAUUCACUCUGCUGUAACAGCAGUUGAGGUUUUGAUUUCAACUUGCUGUUCUCUUUAUCUGUACCGAGUUAGAUGGCAUUUGAACUUCAUGGCAUCUGGCUAAUUUUCUAUAUUCAUAUUGGCCUGGUUGUAUUAAGAUGUUUGCAAUCUGAGGUCAUAGAUUCUGGAUUUGUUUGGUCAUUGGCAGGUCCUGGAUCACUGACACUCUUGCAUAACUGACCUUAUUUUUUAUCAUCUCCCCUUCAUUUGAGCCUUUUUGUGUUUGGUUUAUUUGGCUAUCUGCUGAUGUGCCUUAAACUGUGGAUGUGGAAAAUGCGGUGGAGUUUUUUAAGAUAAGAACAAUGCAUUUGCAUGACCCUUGUCACAUUUCAGGCGCCCAAGAACAAUUGAUCCCGAUGCAAUGGCAGUUGAAGCGAUGAAGAAGAUGGAAUCUCCACCAUCUGCAGUACAAUUCUUGCCUGUAGUCAAUCAUGACAAUAUCUUGAUCGGUAUUGUGACCUUGCACGGAUUGGUUUCAGCUGGGUUAUGAUUGGUUGCUUCACUUGUCCUCCUCCUCCUCCCCUCCCAUUUGUUGUGCAAUUUAUAGCAUCGUCAUUCUUUGUAUUCUUUUCCAUUCCUCCCGGUGAGGUCAUGUAUGAUGAAUCUGUCUGUCUACUAGUGAUUACUCUCUCAGUGCCAUUGAAGGACAUCAAAAUGUUAAAAGUCUUGUGGCAAAUGAAGGCUGUGGAUGUUAGUCUAGUUACCAGCUUCGAUGGCUGAAUAGUGUUGUAACAAGUGAAGAAUAUUGAAGUUCAUGAUUCUAAAUUUCCAGCAAACUGGACUUCCCCUUUUUUAUCGGAUCAAAAGCCACGCUCGGUUUAGGCAUGAUCAGGACGGAGCUAUAAUGAUUUCCACCUUCUAAACCUGGAAUAGCUGCCUGUGCGAAGAUACCAGUUCGAUCACGGUUGGCUUUCAUCAGAUCAGGUUGUCGGUGCCAACUAUUGAUUUUUUCCAUUCUGGCAUUAUACUGGCGGUCCUGGAAUUGCUUGUCUUUAUUUACUUGUUCGAAAAAUAUCCUGGUGUAUUUUGAUUUGUGCCUAUUGCUCCAGCACUAAUUACAGAAAAUGAUAGACUAUACUGCAUUUUGUUUUGUUCGGAAAAUAUCCUGGCAAAUAGCGGUGUAAUCGGUCCUUGGUGGCACCAGAAACAUCUUUUACAUCUCACGCGCAUGCGGUCCUGUGCAAUGACUUGGAAAGAAUUAACGGGUAAAGAUGUCAAAAUGACAAAUAAAGUGGAGUGUAUGAGGUGAAUGUGGUUAGGGCCGCAAUCGAAUCAAUGGUUGCAGCCCUAACUGUGGUGUGUGCGAAUAAUGAAAUGCAAAUGCUUAUUGUUUCGGCUGUUAAUGAAUUGCGACUACAUCUACUAAUUUGCCCUUUUGGUUUGUGCCGAGAAUGUGUAACUUUUGUGAAAUGCUAAAACUUCAAAGGGAAUUUGAAGUGUAUAUGCUAAAACUACAUAUUUAUGUAUGUGGAUUAAUCUUUUUUUACAUGCACUGAUCGAUAAUGUUGGAAGAACCUCGUAUCAUUUGAAUUUGAAUUUAAACAUCAAAUUUUGUAUAUGUGUUAUGUAUCUAAAUUUUCUAGUAUCUAUACUGUAAGUAUAUAAAAGAUUUAUUCACUUCCCCAGUUCUACUCCUACAUUGAUAUUUUUUUCUUUUUUCACGCAGUUUUUUUUUUCAUUGUCCUUUUGUUCUCCAACAACUGCAUGGAGGUCACACGGUAAAUUAUCUUUUCAGUGUAUAAAAGAUUUAUCCUUUUUUAAUCCACUUCCUUCGUUCCACUCCUGCUUCGAUAAUUUUUUUUUUCACACAUUUUUUUUUUCAUUAUUGUCUUUUCGUUCUCCAACCAACGACUGCAUAGAGGUCACACGGUAAAUUAUCUUUUAUCAAGUGGUUGAUAUUUUGUUCAACUAAUAGAUGAUUCAUCUGAACUGCUUCCUUAGUUUUGUGGCGGUCACAAUCAAGCAUAACAGUUAAAGCACAACAUCAGAGACCAGAGAGUAAAUUGAGAGGUCAAAAAAAAAACCACCAACGUAUCCUCAAUCCCCCACUUCUCACUGCUUCUCGUUGUUUCUCAGGUAUCCGCUAGUUUCAUUCUUCACCAUUCAAUCUCGUAGUAAAGUGGACCUGGAAACCGUGAUGACCUGAUGACUGGCCAGUGACUGUCAUGGCACUGAAAUUCAAUGGUCAGCUUCUUCUUCCUUCGUAUCCCAAAUUCCCAACGACUGAUCAAUUGCCCAUCAAAGUCUCUGCUUGUCAUCCUCCAUUUGCAGACCAUAGACUGCUACAAUUACAUUCCCCCAACAAGGCAAAGAAGCCAUUUUUGUUAUCCAAAGUACUCUCACUAGCCAUCGCUAUAACCCUAUCAUCCUCCGAGUCUCCAUCACCUUCCUUGGCUAUCCCUGCUCUCAAUGGUUCCCAGACUUCUCAGUCUCCUUUACUCCCUACAACUACUCCAUUUUCUCAAGCCAAAAACUUGCCAAUUGGGCUGGAAAACGGGUAUUUCUGUUACAACUUUCUCAAGUUUUUGUUACUUCAUUUAUUGCACUAGAGAAAUAUGAAUUGGUAUUCCAAUGUGGUUCAGUAGUUUCCUAGCAGUUGUUGAAAAUUAGAAAUGGGAUCAUCUCAAACACAUGGUUGGUUACUUCAAGAACCUGAAUUGGCAUCGAAUAAUCUCACAGGACCCACUAUUCUGCAAUUCGAUGGUGUUUUAUUGCUUUCUUUCACUUCAAUUAGUGAUGGUUCUAAUUUCAACGUGAUUGUUUUUUAUCCUUAUCCUUUCUUAUUGCUCAUUGGUAGUUCUGCUAUCUUUUUCCCAGAAAAAUCAGGCCUUGCCCCUCCAUAAAUCCAGGUUGUGUAUCAACUAACCCCAACUCGGCUUCUUUUGCAUUACCAUGGGUGAUCCCUGAAAGUUCUUCACGAGAUGCCAUUAAGGUGUAGUGGUACAUUCAAGGGAUACGAAGUUCUGACUAAAGAUUUGAGACACCUUUUACUCAGACUUGAUUCUCUUUUACUAUUCUGUUUCUGAUGGCAGCAAUUAGAGGAUGCAAUUCUCAUGACACAGAAGAAUGUGAAGAUCCAAAGCGUUGAAGACACUCCAUAUGGUAAGAGGCAUAUUCGAAGUUCCAUAUCAGAAUCAUAUAAUGAAGCCUUAAAAUAAUUUGACAUGGUUUGAGUCUUUAUCAUCUGGAGGGAAGUGUUCUAGAAAGAGAAAAGGCUGAUUAUAUAGUGAUUUUUUUCUUAUUUUUGGUGUUAAAUGUUGGAACUUUUGCUGAUCAUGGGACAAAUCCAGGUAAAUACCUGCAGGCUGAGGUUGAUGGGGGAUUUAGCCGCGAUGUCUUGGAAUUUUUAGUAAAAGGAGGCGCAACUGUUACAUAUAGAGCUAUGGCCACAAAGGUGACUUAUGUUUACCCCUUCACUACAGCUUUUGGAGAUUCUAAAGGACAAGAAGAAAGAAUGAAGCAGAUUGUACAGCGGCUAGGGUGGUAUGCUCCAAAUCUUGAUUUUGAAGAUUAGAAUUCCACAGAGUGCAUACAUUAUUGAAUGGCGUUUGAACCACAAUGUAUAUAAAUUCUUUAAUUGGAACAUUCAGUUAAUAGAAGCUCUAUUUUGGCUUGUUUCGAGUUUUGGGAUGACACCUUUUCGAGUUUGAUUUCAUAGGCAAGCAUUUCUUGUAUCACUUGUAAAUCAUCGGUAUAUGAUCAUCGGUCUAAACAAAUAAAACUCUCACUUUUAGCCAUUCAAUUAAUGAAAACAUAUAAUUUUUCGAUCAGAAAAUGCAUAUUGUAAUUAGUUGAAUGACCAUUUUAACUAAAUAAAAAGGUUUAGUGGUAAAAGUAGAGAGUCCUAAAUUGGUAUAGCACUUGCAAAACUGGCAGUGAAUCUACACUAACAACAUGUGGCAUGGAGGAAAUGGAAGCUCUUGCAAGGCUGGUCAUGGAGAAAACCCUGUGUGUACAUGUCCUGCAUUUGACCGAGCAGAAGCCUUUGCCAUGGAAAAAGGGGUUGAAAGUUGAAACUACAGAUUCGAGCCAUUUCAUCAUUUGAUGCAACCGUGCAGGGAUAUAUGCCCAUCAUCUUCAAUUCAACAACUUCCAUUAUUUUUUUAGAAGGGAACAUUAACAUAGUUGGAUGAGUUAUAUAAAACAAGAAUUAGUUGGAUGAGUUAUAUAAAAUUUGCAAAAGAAUGAGUUUAAUAGUCUGUGGCAUACCCUUAAAAAAAAAAAAGGGAUUCGAAGUCUCGAAAUCCUGUACACAACUGCCCUUUUUUUUUUACCCUCCCACCCUUUUUCACGCCCUUUCUGCCGUCAACUAUCAAGCACACGACUGAAGUAAGAUAUGCAUAUAAUUUUACUUCUUCGUGAACCAUCAAACAUAAAUUCGACCAAAGUAAUACGCUGAAUGGGCUGAAAGCCUUCCACAAAGGAUCCUAUAACUAGAGGUGUUAAACUUCACAAGUAGCUCGAAAGCUCGUUAGAGCUCGGCUCGAUAAGGCUCGAGCUCGGCUCGUUAGUUGCGGUAAAUGAGCCGAGCUCAAGCUAGAAAUGUGCUCGUUUAGUUAACGAGCCGAGUAAGCUUGGCUCGUUUGAUAUCCGAGUAGCUCGUUAGAUCUCGUUAAUAAAGGGCAUAUUUGUCAUUUUAGAAGUCAAAAGUAUAAAAAUUGAAAAUUAUAGAUUUUAUUGAGAUUAAUUUGCACAAGCUCGAGCUCGAGCUCAUACAAGCUCGACUCGUUUGUGAUAAAUGAGUUGAGCUCGAGCUUAAUUUGCACAAGCUCGAGCUCGAGCUCAUACAAGCUCGACUCGUUUGUGAUAAAUGAGUUGAGGUCGAGCUCGAACUCGAGCCACAUGUACAUUUGACCAGCCGAGUUCGAACACAUUUUUUGGGAUGAUUAAUAGACAAUAAUCUUAUUUUUCAUUACUUGUCAUUGUACGUGGUUUGCUAUUUUAAGUGACUUAAAUUCAUACGGGUGUGUAGUGCAUCCGUCUGAUUCGAUAGUAGUUUAGUUUCUGUCGAUUUUUCAAUAGGUUCAGUUGGACCCUUCCAUUUAAAAUAGGUUAGAGUAGGAGCAGGUGUAGGAUAAAUAACGUUGAUUGACAAAAAAAAAAAAAAUAACGGACGGCAGCGGCCUUGGCCUUUGUCAACCGAACAUGGAAGGAAAGCGUGAUUCCAACUCUGUCAAAAAUAACGCCUUCGAAUAAAAGUCCUUUUAGCAUUUUUUAACCACAUAUAUAACACAAUUAACUAGUGGUUUGGGUGCAGAAGACUGGUGGAUUAAGUAAGUGGUCUACUUUAGUUAAAUUCGACUGGGCGUUCCUCCGCCGUCAUCCCAAGCAAUAUGUCUCCGGUGGCCGCAGCCACUAGCUUCCAUGGCCUCCCCUUCCCUGAAUUCCCUCAAUACCCCUCUCUUCCCCGUCAUCACCUUCUCAUCCCUAAACCACCCUUUUCCCCUCUCUCCCACCCCACAGUAAGCCUACUUUUCACACACACACACACACACACUCGAAAACAUGCACUUUAGUUUGUUUGUCUAUAAUUCAGUGUUACAUGAAAAGAUGUUUCCUGCAGACAUUUCUGAAGUUCCGGCCGGGUCAGCAUUAUCAAACAAGGCUUUUCAUUCGCCGUCCUCAGUACUCAAUUACAACAAAACCGCAAGGUAUUUCAGAAAAAUAAGAAAAGAAUAGACCUUUUCUUUGUAGUUUUCCUCUGAUUAAUUUUUUUAAUAUUGCAUGCUGCAUUGAAGAAAAUGCUGGAAAAAAAUUGUUGGUUUGUUUUCCUGUUACAGAAUUUAGUGAUACUACCUAUGAUCGAGAGCUUCGGUACGUGCUUGAGCUUGCUACAGACGCUGAAUUAUAUGAGCUUGAGCAAAUUUUAUUUGGUACAAGGUACUUUUUGUUUCCUUGUUUUGCAUAUUUCCUUUUUGUACUGUUUUGUUAUUGUUUCAUUGAGCAGAAGUGUGUGAUUGGAGGAUGUGUUAAAUUUUUGUUUUUGGUUUUGGGGGCUCAAUUUUGAGUGUGUUUGCAGUUAUUUUAGUCCGUUAUUGAAGUCGAUUGCAAAAAAGGAAGAUAUUGAUUACUAUAUGAUUGGAGAGGACCCGGAGGAAAGAGAUGAGUAUAUAUCCAUGUUGGAGAAGAGAUUCUUGUACCUUGCUGCCGAUGCGCGCUCUGUUUUAAGGUUACUUUUUAACCUUGCUAGUUGUGGUUAAUGAAAAUUGACUUUAUAAUAAUGUUGUUAAAUUUUUAGGAAUGUGAAUUUCUGUGCAAUAAAGUGAUUAAGCUUCGUUGUUCAGUAAGUUCUCUGCUGAAAUUUACUCCAACUGUUGUAAUAAGCUGAGCAAAAUAAGUUCUAAGUUGGGUUUUAUAAAGUUGAUGAACAUCAUAAUCCCACCCUCCCUCCCUCUCUCAUGUUGGACUAUGCUGUUUAAAUGAAUAGAAGAAUGAAAUUUGCACGUGUAUUUUUGUUUUUAGGCAAUGUUCAGUGAAUGCUUAUUUUCAUUUGGUAUUGUGAGGCCAAAAUUUUGUAAUGCAACCAAGUGAAUUCAACCGUUUGCUGUUGCUUAAUAUUGAAUGCUUGAUACCUAUAGGUUUAUUCAGUGUUCUUUGGUGGAGUAUGUACUGUAGUCUGGCAUAAUUUUUUGGUGAACUCGUGCUUCUUUGGUAAUGAAGCCUGUAAUCAUUGCUGAUCAAAUUCUGUUUUCUUCUUUUCUUCUUUUUUCCUUUUUUUUUCUCCCCAAGAGGUUUACUGGAUGUCAUGUUGAGCUCCUUUGAGUGACUCGAAUUGGCUUGUGCUGCUGUAGGGGUUGGAGGCCUUCCUAUAGGAACGUACUUCUUGGAGUGAGGAAAAAGUUAAAUAUACCUUGUUCAUCUAAAUUGGCUACCGAGGAUCUAGAAGCAGAGAUUUUUCUUCACAUGCUGCAAGACUAUUCAGGGUAUAUAAUGUGGUGCAGUUCUUUUAUGCUUGCAGUUUUGAAUCAACUUUCUGAGCAGAUAAUAUAGUUCUCAGCUGAUGGGACAUUAUUUGAACAAGCAUACUUCACUCAAAGUCUGCUAUGGAACUUGUGGCAAGAAAUUUUUUGCUGACUUCUGUUCUUCUUCUUCGUUGCUUUGUAAAUUCUUGUUUUGGAAUGUGCCGGCUGUUCGCAACAUUGCUGGCUAUUAGAUUUUCUGCAGAAGACUUUGAUGGAUAGAUGCUUGUAUCCUGGCAAUGAAAUUUAAGCCCAUAAAGUACAGUGGUCUAGUUAUUGGGCCUAAUUACUCUAAAGCUUCUUCUCAGCCCAAUAUAAUCUCAAUACCUAUAUAGUUCUUAAUGUUCAUAAUUCAUGAUAUAUGUAAAAACUCAUCAGUUGAGUCUAUGGCUGAUAAAAUUCAGAGCGGUGGAUAUCAGAGUUCAUUUAGGAGUUGAACUGAACCCAUGAUUUUACUAGUAAUGAGAUGAUGCCUUAGCCAUUCAGCCAUGGACAUUUUUGUGGUUGAAACUAUAAGAAUAGGAGCUGAAAUCCUGUACUGAUAUCUAAGACUAAACAAAAAUGAACCUUUUCUAUUAGAACAUAUCUCUGUGUCAAUUUCUGAGCCUCCGGCUGAUGAAAUUUUAUCGAUCAUAAAGAAGUUAUUGACAAAAUAUGUUCCAGACAUCGUGCAUUCAUAGUUUCGUUUUCUCCUCGGUGUCAAAAGCUGUGGAUCAAACUGGAAUUCUUUUUUCCUUUCUUCUUUUGAAGCAUCUAGUGAUUAAAAUCGUCUCAAGAACUAAAUUCUCUUUUUCUCUCUCUAGUCUUCUCCUCUAGAAAGCAACAUCUAGUUCACAAUGUUAUCAUAAAUUCCCAAGAUGUAAUCUGGUACAAGAUUUUGAGAAAUUAAUCACAUUUGGUUAAGAGUUGGAUGAAAAUUAAUUUAUUGCCUUGCUGGUGGGACUUUAAGUGUUUGACUUAUGCACAUGUUAUAUAAUCUAAUGAGAUUGAAGUCCUGCAAGUAAUCAAUAAGUGUCUAAUAAUGCUUGUCUAGUUGUAAACAACAGAUUUUCUUGUUUUUCCGCAUCUGCAGUUAAAUAAAACUAUGAACACAUAAUUUUCUUCAUAUCCUAGAGAUCACUAUAGCAUUUUUAAUUACUGACAUAUACCAAUGAUUUACUUGUGGCUUUAUAUAGACAAGCAUCUGGCAGCUUAAAUGGGUCACAGGAAAAUGUGAAAAAUUCUGAUGGCAAUGGUACUUUAGAACAUGGACUCAGUCAGUGGAAGGUCCAAACAGCUACUGCUUUAAGGGAUGGGGCUGCAGAUCUCAGAUCAAUGAUAUUGAAGGUUUUUGCUACUUGCAUUAAUUUGUACUUGGUUUUCUUAAUGAUCAUUUUCCAUGUAUAGUUCUUAAUUUGAUUGUAAUAUUAGGGUGGCGGGGUGCUCACACUGGGCAAAUUGUAUGAGCUGGUGAGAUUUAGUCCUAGGUUGUUUGCUGCAAAUUUUUUUAUCAUUUGUUACCAUGAGGUAGCUCAUUGUUGUAGCUAGCAAAGGGAUUAUCUGGAAAGAUGUUCCAGGAAGCUGCCAAGUAUCAGCUGAAGAAUGAAUUGAUUAAAGAGGUAUUAUGCUUUACUGAUAUUGAACAGCUUCAGAUUUUGUGCUGGAAUAGACAACAAAAACUGUUUCAUUCUCUAAAAGCUCCUCAAUAUUUUGUUCCACAUAAAAGUUAGCAUACCAAGUAUAUUUUACCUGUGCUGCAUAAGUUGAUAUUGGGAUCUAAAAAGAUUUGCAUACUACUUAAAUUGUUGAUGACUGUUUCUGCAGUCAAAAUUUUAGUCUGUCACUUUCUUUUGGAGUAUAAAGGCACAACUUAAUUUCACAAACUGUUAACAACUGGAGUAGUAGGCUACAAAUACUUGAUUGACCACCUAAUAUUGAGUUACUGACGUUUAUGAAAUAACUGUUUAAUGGCUGGAUUAACAAGAGACAUUUUAUCCAACUAAAGAAAUGUAUGUGAUGCUAUCCUUUACCUGGUGAUUGUGUUAUGAUUUGUCAGGACAAAGGUUGGAUUGCUAUAAUCUUUCAGCUCUUGAGAAAGAGGGCCUAUAAUAUUUUGGUAUUCUUACCAGAGUAUACGCUAUUGCUAGACACAUUUUUUUGUUGCUUACUCUUGUGUUGGGGACAGUAUACCUAGCUUGAGGACAUGCAAAAAAGUGGCCUAAUUGGUUUGCUAACUGGGUACCUUUGUUAAUAUUUUGCAGCUUGCUGUCUCAUCAUCUUUUAUAUGUAUAAGUGGUGAUUGAUAGUUCUGAAGUCUUUGCCAAGAUGUAUGAAAGUUACCUCGUGUACUUGGGUGACAUCAUCCUUAUGAUAAAAUUGGGAAAAAAUUGAGGAAAAGGAAGUUGUGCUGUUUAGCAUUUCAAUUAUGAUUGAAUGGAUCUCAUUUUGUAAGAUUGCUGGCUUAAACUGACCAAGGUUCCUGAAAAAUGUUGGUUUCCAGGGGGCAAAUUUGGCAGCUGUCAAUCUUGAAUCCAGAGCGGCUUUGCAUGCUGCAAAGCAGGUAAAGGUGUCAUACCAACUCUCUGACUAAUUAAACAAUGCUUCAAAUGGCUGAUAACUAGCUGCACCAUUUGGGUGGUAUAUCUGGAAAUGAUGUAGGAUCGCCAGAUCAUACACAAUUUAUACCUGUAGAGAUUGUUGAUAGACCAUUAGGUUGGACAAGUAAUACCUGUACUGAUUGUUGGAAUAUUGCGAAUAUUACAUAGAAUGAAAUGGUUCCCUUGUGUCUGUCUCUCUCUCAUCAUACACAAAAGCAUCCUUCAAUUACUUACUUCUGGCAAGUAGGAACCCUCGGAAAAUGGUCUGCGGAUGUAAGUGCAUAUGCAGGCUCCGGUCUUUUAGCUCUGAUGAGUAUGAAUUUGUUAUCUCUACAAAUAAACACAAUAAAUUUUAACAAUUUGAUGCACCAUAUGAUCUCCAUUUGUAAAUUCAACUCAUAUGCAGUAAUCUGAGGUUUGAAUUACAGAAAGUGAUUUUGGCUACUGUAGGAAUGCCAGUAAUAUGAUGUUUUCAUUCUAAAGUUUCCCUUUGUGAUUGUUGACAGAGUGUAGCAGGUGCAGCCUCCCGAUAUCUGGGGAUUAGGAGUAUGAUGACACUUUUGGGCCCAAUGUAAUAUCUCUUUUUAACUGGGAGAAUUUGUUACCUUUGUGUUGAUUGCAAACAUAUUUUGUCUGCAUUUUUGCAUUAUUGAUUUCGUGCAUCCAAAUCCUUCAAACUUCAACAUCUGGCCUGAGGCUAUUCUUUCAAAUUGCUUAUUUUACCGUGUGAUAGUGGGGUAUCCAUUGUGUUGCUAAACAUCUUGCCCCCAGAAGAAAACUAAGGCAUAGCUAAAAUAAUUAGAAUUCUGAUAUGCCAAGUUUCACCAGAAAGUACCUUUCAGUCUGAUUUUAUAGCCUUCAAAGUGAUAAAAAAAUGGAGAGAGAGGGUAAUGUUCUUCUUCACAAUUUCUACAGACAAUACAAGAUUCAUGAUGUGAUGACAAAUGGUAGUUAUUGUACUGAUGAUACCAGUGUUAACAUCUGAGUGUUUCUUGUGGAUACAAAACAACAAACCAAAUGAGAGGAAUGUUCUUCUCACAGAAUGUUCUUCUCACAGUAAGGCUGCCAAAGCAUCUCAAAAGGUGCAAAGAAUUAUGUUACUCUGUUUUACAGGAAGUUACAUUUGUAAUCAGGUAGAAUUAUUUCCUCUUAUGUAAUUAGCGAAUGACUAAUUGCAUCUUGUUAACUAAUUUAGGCUUCCUUUGAGACGUGCAUGUUUUGAGGAUGAUUAUUGUAUUAUGUGGGUUUUUUCUUGUCCUUGUUUAUGAUGUAGGCUGCGCAAUAUAGAAACUAUUUACAGUCAUGACGAGUAAGUCCAGCAGAAUCAGGAAACAGCUACUACCAGAAAAAUAAGGGAGCAGACCAAGUAACGAGAAAUUUUUAGCUGUGUUUAGAGAAAUCAUAAGGUUGAAAGGGGUAGUUGAAAGCCGAAACAAAUGAAAAAAAUGAUUUAACAAGAGAUAUGAGAGGGUGUGAAGUUGAAGUUUAGAAAAUUUUUCAAAAUAGUUAGCUUUUAAAUCUUUGGUCCUCAGUUUCUAGCAUCUGUCAUGCAGAUUGUGCUUGACUUCUGCUUAAACUAUGAUUUCUGCAGGCUCUGGGGAACUUUUCUCGCGGAUGUUGUCAUUCAAAUGCUCGGAACUGAUUAUGCUAGAAUCCUGCGGGCCAUCUAUGCAUUAGCACAGGUAUUCUGUGGCCAUGCCUGCAUAUCCUAAGUCAUUUAGAUUCAUUGUACAUGAUGGUUCAAAUUAGAAGCAUGGGAAUAAUCAUCAGUAAGCUGUUUUCUUGAGUCAAUAUUACCUAACCUUGAAUCUCUACAAGUCAUGUGUUUAUCUUUCCUGCAUUCCCACAAAUUUAAUACAAUUGAAAGUUGUAGUUAAUGUACUUAGAUUGAGUUCUUCUUGCAUUAUUUUGUUGAAUUAAGACUUUACAGAGAAUUAUAUUUUGAUUUAAUUUUUAGGAUAAAAGGAACUUUGAUUUUGACAUGUUGUGUCAAACUGGAAGUUAGUCUUCAAGUGUCUUUUAUUUUGAGAUUGUGGUUUAAGACCCAAUGGAAGGUUUAUCGAAUAAGGUUUUACAUGCAUUUGAUCUGCUUUUUUGAUAUGUCCUUUUUUCAAUGAUUGGCUUCAGAUUCGCAUCCUCCACACCAAAUAGGUAUCCACAUGAUAUUAACUGAGAGCGGCCUGUGAAAAUUGUACAGCACGUCUUGUCAGAACUGACAUCUUGUUUUGCUUCACGUUGGAUUCCACCAAGGUAUUUGCUGAAAAGUUAUCCGCAUGUUGCAACUGGGAAGGUGGUUCCACUAUUUAAUCUGGCUAUUGUAUAUAGUACACAUAGACAGCUCUAGUUUCGUUCUUCAGAAAUUUUUUAUAGGAGAAGCUGGUUGUAUAUGUCUUAUUCGACUGCAGGACUGCUUUGACUGCAUUAUCUUAGUUAAGGCACACACUUUGCCUAAUAUGAGUACUUCUGCAAGAUAUUAUUCCAAGUUCUGUUACUUCCUUUGUCCCAAAAUUUCGAGGAUAGUUGUCUUUUGCUUCUUUUUUCCUCCUUGAUUAAUGUAUGUUGUCUUCUGUAGAUGUACUUUCCGAGAGCAAUCAUAUUCUGUGUCAUUACUUUCUGUAGCAGUACCCUCUGCAAGAUGUUGAAAACUAAGCAAAGCUGGGAGUUUAGGACUUGUACAUCCUUACUUGAUCAGCAAAAUUUAUGUUUUAUAGCCGCAUCUUGCCUUCUCUAGUUGCUAUAAUUGAAUUGUGCCACGCGAUGAGGUAUAGGUUUGUCUCUGCCUGGUUUAGGUUAGAUGAGAAUCAUAUGUUGUAAGAUUUGCUGUAGAAGUUACCAAUCAACUAGAUAUCAUCUUGUUGGAAUCUCUCAGAAACCAUGACAUCCUGUUUAUAACCUACCAGACUUGCAUCAACAAUCACCAAACAAAAUACGUACUUCUAAAUUAAAUAACACAACUACUAAAAACUUGACUCCAAUAAAACUAGUGAGUAAAUAAAUAAAUACUUCUAAUCUUGAUUUAUUUUACAAACAAGGAUAAAUUCAGGUGUCGCCAUCCCAAAGUUCCUCGACCGAUUUGUAUGGCCCG
RNAcentral lists this long non-coding RNA (29798 nucleotides) under Coffea arabica (coffee). RNAcentral describes it as "long non-coding RNA (CARA_LNC002768)". Lineage: Eukaryota; Viridiplantae; Streptophyta; Magnoliopsida; Gentianales; Rubiaceae. The record is from RNAcentral.